CAGGACCACCCAGUGCGAGGAAUAACCGGAGCUCUCUGCAACGCUGAAAGAAACUGGCCAGCAACCUAGCUUAAAGGAUCCUCACAUCUGCGGCGAUGACUCUGUGCACAGACCAAGGAAGGAGAAGCCGCCGGAGCCAGUAAAGUACUCCCUUGGUGGUCAAAUUCCGGAGGGCUAAAUGUGUGUGUGCAUGAAUGAUCACAAAUAACCCUACCUGCGGUGUUGUUCAUGUGGAUGGUGACAAGACCUACUGCUGGACAGAGUGAGUGGGACCUCUCCGCAGUUCCGUAGCUACCUCAUAUGGCUUAGGGCGGAUCCUGCCGUGGGAUUUAUACUGGCACACCGACACUAAGAGGGGCCUAAUUCUCCCUUGGGGGAGCAGCCAGAGAGGGCAACACAAGUGGGAAGUGUGCAAGGGACCUUGAGAGGGGGAAAGGGAGGAAACAGGUCAACCUCCCAGAGCAGCAAGGUGCUGCCUUUGGACUUUCCAGUGCCUCAGCAUCAGCCUGGGGAUCACGUUCUCAUCAAAGAGGGGAAAGAAGGGAAACUCGAGCCAGCCCGGGAAGGACCCUACCUUGUGCUGCUAACCACUGAGACUGCUGUUCGUAAGGUUGGAAAGAGAUGGACACAUCACACAUGAGUCAAGCAAGCACCAUUAUCCUCAGAAUCAUGGGCCAUUGUUCCUGGAUCAAGCCCUACCAAAUUAAAGCUAAGGAAAGCUUAGUCUAUCUAUCUUUUCCUUUCCCUUCCUUACCCAGUGCUUAUAUCCAUUACUAUUCCUACCACUAGCAACUCUAACCCCACU
This 805-nucleotide long non-coding RNA is filed under the name Homo sapiens (human). Its description in RNAcentral is "non-protein coding lnc-CBR3-1:4". The record is from RNAcentral. Lineage: Eukaryota; Metazoa; Chordata; Mammalia; Primates; Hominidae.